UACGGGGGGGGCAAGCGUUGUUCGGAAUUACUGGGCGUAAAGGGCUCGUAGGCGGCCAACUAAGUCAGACGUGAAAUCCCUCGGCUUAACCGGGGAACUGCGUCUGAUACUGGAUGGCUUGAGUUUGGGAGAGGGAUGCGGAAUUCCAGGUGUAGCGGUGAAAUGCGUAGAUAUCAAGUGGAACACCAGUGGCGAAGGCGAGUCUCUGGACAUUUCCUGACGCUGAGGCACGAAAGCCAGGGGAGCAAACGGG
RNAcentral lists this ribosomal RNA (253 nucleotides) under uncultured bacterium. RNAcentral describes it as "partial 16S ribosomal RNA". It matches the Rfam family "Bacterial small subunit ribosomal RNA", at positions 524 to 776 of the family's 1533-position model. The record is from RNAcentral.